CCUACGGGGGGCAGCAGUAGGGAAUCUUCCACAAUGGGCGAAAGCCUGAUGGAGCAACGCCGCGUGGGUGAAGAAGGUCUUCGGAUCGUAAAACCCUGUUGUUAGAGAAGAAAGUGCGUGAGAGUAACUGUUCACGUUUCGACGGUAUCUAACCAGAAAGCCACGGCUAACUACGUGCCAGCAGCCGCGGUAAUCCGUAGGUGGCAAGCGUUAACCGGAUUUAUUGGGCGUAAAGGGAACGCAGGCGGUCUUUUAAGUCUGAUGUGAAAGCCUUCGGCUUAACCGGAGUAGUGCAUUGGAAACUGGGAGACUUGAGUGCAGAAGAGGAGAGUGGAACUCCAUGUGUAGCGGUGAAAUGCGUAGAUAUAUGGAAGAACACCAGUGGCGAAAGCGGCUUUCUGGUCUGUAACUGACGCUGAGGUUCGAAAGCGUGGGUAGCAAACAGGAUUAGAUACCCGAGUAGUC
Molecule: ribosomal RNA, 465 nt
Filed under: uncultured bacterium
Lineage: Bacteria
Description: partial 16S ribosomal RNA
Rfam family: Bacterial small subunit ribosomal RNA
Source: RNAcentral